CCGGCUAACUACGUGCCAGCAGCCGCGGUAAUACGUAGGGUGCGAGCGUUAAUNGGAAUUACUGGGCGUAAAGCGUGCGCAGGCGGUUCGUUAAGACAGAUGUGAAAUCCCCGGGCUUAACCUGGGAACUGCAUUUGUGACUGGCGAGCUAGAGUAUGGCAGAGGGGGGUAGAAUUCCACGUGUAGCAGUGAAAUGCGUAGAGAUGUGGAGGAAUACCGAUGGCGAAGGCAGCCCCCUGGGCCAAUACUGACGCUCAUGCACGAAAGCGUGGGGAGCAAACAGGAUUAGAUACCCUGGUAGUCCACGCCCUAAACGAUGUCAACUAGUUGUUGGGUCUUCAUUGACUUAGUAACGUAGCUAACGCGUGAAGUUGACCGCCUGGGGAGUACGGUCGCAAGAUUAAAACUCAAAGGAAUUGACGGGGACCCGCACAAGCGGUGGAUGAUGUGGAUUAAUUCGAUGCAACGCGAAAGACCUUACCUACCCUUGACAUGGUCGGAACCCUGCUGAAAGGUGGGGGUGCUCGAAAGAGAACCGAUACACAGGUGCUGCA
This 554-nucleotide ribosomal RNA is filed under the name uncultured beta proteobacterium. RNAcentral's name for it is "bacterial SSU rRNA". It matches the Rfam family "Bacterial small subunit ribosomal RNA", at positions 493 to 1045 of the family's 1533-position model. Lineage: Bacteria; Pseudomonadati; Pseudomonadota; Betaproteobacteria. The record is from RNAcentral.